RNAcentral lists this ribosomal RNA (438 nucleotides) under uncultured bacterium. Its description in RNAcentral is "bacterial SSU rRNA". It matches the Rfam family "Bacterial small subunit ribosomal RNA", at positions 355 to 786 of the family's 1533-position model. The record is from RNAcentral.
UGGAGAAUAUUGGUCAAUGGUCGAUAGACUGAACCAGCCAAGUAGCGUGCGGGAUGAAGGGCCCUCCGGGGUCGUAAACCGCUUUUAGACGGGGAUAAAAGGGCGUACGUGUACGCCGUAUUGCAUGUACCGUCAGAAAAAGGACCGGCUAAUUCCGUGCCAGCAGCCGCGGUAAUACGGAAGGUCCGGGCGUUAUCCGGAUUUAUUGGGUUUAAAGGGAGCGUAGGCGGACUUUCAAGUCAGUGGUAAAAUCGUGUGGCUCAACCAUACCUCGCCAUUGAAACUGGAAGUCUGGAGUGCACACAGGGGUGCCGGAAUUCAUGGUGUAGCGGUGAAAUGCUUAGAUAUCAUGAAGAACUCCGAUCGCGAAGGCAAGUGCCCGGGGUGCAACUGACGCUGAGGCUCGAAAAGUGUGGGUAUCAAACAGGAUUAGAUACC